RNAcentral lists this long non-coding RNA (256 nucleotides) under Populus trichocarpa (black cottonwood). RNAcentral describes it as "long non-coding RNA (PTRI_LNC001010)". Lineage: Eukaryota; Viridiplantae; Streptophyta; Magnoliopsida; Malpighiales; Salicaceae. The record is from RNAcentral.
CCCUCAUACCUCUCUCUCUCAGAAACCCCAUUUCUUGUAUAAAAAUACUCUCAUCAUCCUCACCACCUCAUUUUAUUGGCUUGUUACCCCCAUCAUAUUCCAGCUCACAAAGGCAAAAGAAAGCAAGUAGAAAUAAAAAAGAAACAUUUCUCCUCUCUCAUUACUAUUUAAUCAUCAUCUACUAAUGAACCAAAAGUGAAACAAUUUUGUUUUGCUUAUCAUACUGCACACAAUCUCUCUCUCUCUCUCUCUCUCU